RNAcentral lists this small RNA (473 nucleotides) under Histoplasma capsulatum. RNAcentral describes it as "hypothetical RNA". Lineage: Eukaryota; Fungi; Ascomycota; Eurotiomycetes; Onygenales; Ajellomycetaceae. RNAcentral also lists the same sequence under 1 other name. The record is from RNAcentral.
AUGUAGCAGCAUAUAUCCUUCAGCUAAUCAUAAUCGCUAACCUUUUCAUCCAGAGGACCUAGGCGAGCGGGGAUUUGCGAUUUUCUUUUUCUUUCCUUUGUUUGGGGGACACGAGAAACCGAAUCGAACCUCUAGAAUUGACUGGGUAUAUGGAAGCUCGGUAACUGUGUGGGCAGAGGUAUAAAUGGAAUGGUCAACUCGUAAUAAUAACUGUAGGCGCCAGCACAGAUGUGUCCGAUCUGAGCAAAAUAGGGUGGAAUAAUCGGAAAAGUUCCUCAUGAAAUUACUCUUAAAAAAUUAAUUUACGGUGCCUUUAUCGUCCAGAUCUGUCUCAGUAACGGACAAAUACCGCUGCGAAUAUCCAGUUCGCAGCAAGAAGGCUGGUUUCCGGAGCUCACGGAGUAGCCUGCAGGUACCCUUGACGAAGCACCAAUCCAGCAGAUAUGGGCGCUGGGACCCACAUAGUAAGGAAU